RNAcentral lists this ribosomal RNA (1541 nucleotides) under Salmonella enterica subsp. enterica serovar Gallinarum. RNAcentral's name for it is "bacterial SSU rRNA". It matches the Rfam family "Bacterial small subunit ribosomal RNA". The record is from RNAcentral. Lineage: Bacteria; Pseudomonadati; Pseudomonadota; Gammaproteobacteria; Enterobacterales; Enterobacteriaceae.
AAAUUGAAGAGUUUGAUCAUGGCUCAGAUUGAACGCUGGCGGCAGGCCUAACACAUGCAAGUCGAACGGUAACAGGAAGCAGCUUGCUGCUUCGCUGACGAGUGGCGGACGGGUGAGUAAUGUCUGGGAAACUGCCUGAUGGAGGGGAUAACUACUGGAAACGGUGGCUAAUACCGCAUAACGUCGCAAGACCAAAGAGGGGGACCUUCGGGCCUCUUGCCAUCAGAUGUGCCCAGAUGGGAUUAGCUUGUUGGUGAGGUAACGGCUCACCAAGGCGACGAUCCCUAGCUGGUCUGAGAGGAUGACCAGCCACACUGGAACUGAGACACGGUCCAGACUCCUACGGGAGGCAGCAGUGGGGAAUAUUGCACAAUGGGCGCAAGCCUGAUGCAGCCAUGCCGCGUGUAUGAAGAAGGCCUUCGGGUUGUAAAGUACUUUCAGCGGGGAGGAAGGUGUUGUGGUUAAUAACCGCAGCAAUUGACGUUACCCGCAGAAGAAGCACCGGCUAACUCCGUGCCAGCAGCCGCGGUAAUACGGAGGGUGCAAGCGUUAAUCGGAAUUACUGGGCGUAAAGCGCACGCAGGCGGUCUGUCAAGUCGGAUGUGAAAUCCCCGGGCUCAACCUGGGAACUGCAUUCGAAACUGGCAGGCUUGAGUCUUGUAGAGGGGGGUAGAAUUCCAGGUGUAGCGGUGAAAUGCGUAGAGAUCUGGAGGAAUACCGGUGGCGAAGGCGGCCCCCUGGACAAAGACUGACGCUCAGGUGCGAAAGCGUGGGGAGCAAACAGGAUUAGAUACCCUGGUAGUCCACGCCGUAAACGAUGUCUACUUGGAGGUUGUGCCCUUGAGGCGUGGCUUCCGGAGCUAACGCGUUAAGUAGACCGCCUGGGGAGUACGGCCGCAAGGUUAAAACUCAAAUGAAUUGACGGGGGCCCGCACAAGCGGUGGAGCAUGUGGUUUAAUUCGAUGCAACGCGAAGAACCUUACCUGGUCUUGACAUCCACAGAAGAAUCCAGAGAUGGAUUUGUGCCUUCGGGAACUGUGAGACAGGUGCUGCAUGGCUGUCGUCAGCUCGUGUUGUGAAAUGUUGGGUUAAGUCCCGCAACGAGCGCAACCCUUAUCCUUUGUUGCCAGCGGUUAGGCCGGGAACUCAAAGGAGACUGCCAGUGAUAAACUGGAGGAAGGUGGGGAUGACGUCAAGUCAUCAUGGCCCUUACGACCAGGGCUACACACGUGCUACAAUGGCGCAUACAAAGAGAAGCGACCUCGCGAGAGCAAGCGGACCUCAUAAAGUGCGUCGUAGUCCGGAUUGGAGUCUGCAACUCGACUCCAUGAAGUCGGAAUCGCUAGUAAUCGUGGAUCAGAAUGCCACGGUGAAUACGUUCCCGGGCCUUGUACACACCGCCCGUCACACCAUGGGAGUGGGUUGCAAAAGAAGUAGGUAGCUUAACCUUCGGGAGGGCGCUUACCACUUUGUGAUUCAUGACUGGGGUGAAGUCGUAACAAGGUAACCGUAGGGGAACCUGCGGUUGGAUCACCUCCUUA